RNAcentral lists this ribosomal RNA (253 nucleotides) under uncultured bacterium. RNAcentral's name for it is "partial 16S ribosomal RNA". It matches the Rfam family "Bacterial small subunit ribosomal RNA", at positions 524 to 776 of the family's 1533-position model. The record is from RNAcentral.
UACGAAGGGGGCUAGCGUUGUUCGGAAUUACUGGGCGUAAAGCGCGUGUAGGCGGCUAAGUGUGUCGGGCGUGAAAUCCCACGGCUCAACCGUGGAAGUGCACCCGAAACUACGUAGCUAGAGUCCUGGAGAGGAAGGUGGAAUGCUUGGUGUAGAGGUGAAAUUCGUAGAUAUCAAGCGGAACACCGGUGGCGAAGGCGGCCUUCUGGACAGUGACUGACGCUGAGACGCGAAAGCGUGGGGAGCAAACAGG